RNAcentral lists this ribosomal RNA (439 nucleotides) under uncultured bacterium. Its description in RNAcentral is "partial 16S ribosomal RNA". It matches the Rfam family "Bacterial small subunit ribosomal RNA", at positions 364 to 795 of the family's 1533-position model. The record is from RNAcentral.
UUGCGCAAUGCCCGCAAGGGUGACGCAGCGACGCCGCGUGGGUGAAGAAGCACUACGGUGUGUAAAGCCCUGUCAGAGGGGACGAACGGUUUGGAUUCGCAAGGGUUCAGGAUUGACGGUACCCUCAGAGGAAGCUCCGGCUAACUCCGUGCCAGCAGCCGCGGUAAUACGGAGGGUGCAAGCGUUACUCGGAAUCACUGGGCGUAAAGGACGCGUAGGCGGGUUGGAAAGUCAGGUGUGAAAUCCUACAGCUUAACUGUAGAACUGCACUUGAAACUUCUAAUCUAGAGUGUGGGAGGGGGAGAUGGAAUUAGUGGUGUAGGGGUAAAAUUCGUAGAUAUCACUAGGAAUACCUAAAGCGAAGGCGAUCUCCUGGAACAUUACUGACGCUAAGGCGUGAAAGCGUGGGGAGCAAACAGGAUUAGAUACCCGCGUAGUC